This 450-nucleotide ribosomal RNA is filed under the name uncultured Scutellospora. RNAcentral's name for it is "SSU rRNA". It matches the Rfam family "Eukaryotic small subunit ribosomal RNA", at positions 569 to 1027 of the family's 1831-position model. The record is from RNAcentral. Lineage: Eukaryota; Fungi; Glomeromycota; Glomeromycetes; Diversisporales; Gigasporaceae.
AGCAGCCGCGGUAAUUCCAGCUCCAAUAGCGUAUAUUAAAGUUGUUGCAGUUAAAAAGCUCGUAGUUGAAUUUCGGGGUUCUACCGUUGGUCGGGCUUUGUCUGUACUGGCGUGUAGAAUUUCUACCUUCUGGGGAACCAUCAUGUUAUUAAUUUAACGUGGUGGGAAACCAGGACCUUUACCUUGAAAAAAUUAGAGUGUUCAAAGUAGGCUUAUGUCUGAAUACAUUAGCAUGGAAUAAUAGAAUAGGACGGUGGUCCUGUUUUGUUGGUUUCUGAAUCACCGUAAUGAUUAAUAGGGAUAGUUGGGGGCAUUAGUAUUCAAUUGUCAGAGGUGAAAUUCUUGGAUUUAUUGAAGACUAACUUCUGCGAAAGCAUUUGCCAAGGAUGUUUUCAUUAAUCAAGAACGAAAGUUAGGGGAUCGAAGACGAUCAGAUACCGUCGUAGUCUU